UGAGGAAUUUUGCGCAAUGGGCGAAAGCCUGACGCAGCGACGCCGCGUGGAGGAAGACGGUUUUCGGAUUGUAAACCUCUGUCUUCGGUGAAGAAAAAAAUGACGGUAGCCGAGGAGGAAGCCACGGCUAACUACGUGCCAGCAGCCGCGGUAAUACGUAGGUGGCGAGCGUUGUCCGGAAUUACUGGGUGUGAAGGGAACGCAGGCGGGGAGACAAUUAAGCUGUGAAAACUAUGGGCUUAACCCAUAAACUGCAGUUGAAACUGUCUAGCUUGAGUAAGGGAGAGGAAAGUGGAAUUCCUGGUGUAGAGGUGAAAUUCGUAGAUAUCAGGAGUAACACCGGUGGCGAAGGCGACUUUCUGGCCCUAUACUGACGCUGAGACGCGAAAGCGUGGGUAGCAAACA
Molecule: ribosomal RNA, 405 nt
Filed under: uncultured prokaryote
Description: bacterial SSU rRNA
Rfam family: Bacterial small subunit ribosomal RNA
Source: RNAcentral